Molecule: signal recognition particle RNA, 98 nt
Filed under: Eubacterium sp.
Lineage: Bacteria; Bacillati; Bacillota; Clostridia; Eubacteriales; Eubacteriaceae
Also listed under: 8 other names
Description: signal recognition particle sRNA small type
Rfam family: Bacterial small signal recognition particle RNA
About the family: The signal recognition particle (SRP) is a universally conserved ribonucleoprotein involved in the co-translational targeting of proteins to membranes.
Source: RNAcentral
UAUAAAAGCUACUACAAUGAUACACACUGAAUUAGGUCAGGUCGGGAACGAAGCAGCCUUAAGGUGGCUCUGUCAUGUGUGGUAGCACUUUUUUAUUU